Molecule: ribosomal RNA, 465 nt
Filed under: uncultured bacterium
Lineage: Bacteria
Description: partial 16S ribosomal RNA
Rfam family: Bacterial small subunit ribosomal RNA
Source: RNAcentral
GACGAACGCUGGCGGCGUGCUUAACACAUGCAAGUCGAACGGAAAGGCCCUGCUUGCCGGGUACUCGAGUGGCGAACGGGUGAGUAACACGUGGGUGAUCUGCCCUGCACUUCGGGAUAAGCCUGGGAAACUGGGUCUAAUACCGGAUAGGAGCCAUUUUUAGUGUGAUGGUUGGAAAGUUUUUUCGGUGUAGGAUGAGCUCGCGGCCUAUCAGCUUGUUGGUGGGGUAAUGGCCUACCAAGGCGGCGACGGGUAGCCGGCCUGAGAGGGUGGACGGCCACAUUGGGACUGAGAGACGGCCCAGACUCCUACGGGAGGCAGCAGUGGGGAAUAUUGCACAAGGGGCGCAAGCCUGAUGCAGCGACGCCGCGUGGGGGAUGACGGCCUUCGGGUUGUAAACUACUUUCGCUAGGGACGAAGCUUUUUGUGACGGUACCUAGAGAAGAAGCACCGGCUAACUACGUG